AAUAUGUUACAUGAAUAAUGGUGUCAUCAAGAAUCAUUAAACAGUCAUUAUGCUGAAACAUGACACUCAGCAAGGGGAUCCAAACCGUUUACAGUUUGAACCAAUCAUAAUGUUUAUGUGGUGUAAAUGUUUAUAAGGCUGUCGUAUUGAUGGGCAAAACUACUUUCCUGACGACAUACCACACGGUCCUUAUUCAACAUGAAGCUGUUUCUUCUGGUGGUUCUAGUUUUUUCAGUGGUUCAGCUGAGUGCUGGGCCUGGGAUUAUGGAUGCGUGGGUCAAAAUUCCUUAUGGAGAGUACGACAGUCAAAUAUCACUGAAUCAAAGUAUGUC
Haliotis rubra (blacklip abalone) is the source of this 332-nucleotide long non-coding RNA. RefSeq lists it as uncharacterized. Lineage: Eukaryota; Metazoa; Mollusca; Gastropoda; Lepetellida; Haliotidae. The transcript is spliced from 3 exons. The record is from RefSeq and is a predicted model, not a curated record.